This is a long non-coding RNA of Ictalurus punctatus (channel catfish), 1294 nucleotides long. The record is from Ensembl. Lineage: Eukaryota; Metazoa; Chordata; Actinopteri; Siluriformes; Ictaluridae.
UAUAUAUAUAUAUUAUAAUAGGGCAUUCAUUCAUUUUCAGAAUUGUAACCCUUUUAAAUGCUGGUUUGUUUACAUAAUGCCACAGAUGUUUGUUUUUUUAUAAUAAAGAUUUUUCUGAUUAUUACAGUCUUUGAUAUGUCAAUAAUUAACAACAUUAAUUUUUUAUGCAUUCAUAUAUUUUAUGUAGUGUCAGAUUUAAAAAAAAAUAAACCUACCACUCAGGUUCAUAAAGGACACAAAUGUCCAUGUCAAAAGCGUUCUAACUUUUUUGAGACAUGUUGCGUAUGGGAUGAUUUUCCGUCAAAAGUAUUGCGGUCACGGAUCAAAAAUAAGCGUCAGUUCUCCUCUUCGAUUGAUUGGCUAGAGGAGGACCAAUGGUGACUCUAAAGCUCACCCUCAUUUACAUGAAACUCGGACCGCAACAUUUGGAAAAUCAAGCGGAAGAUGUGGAAACAAGCGCGAAGGGACAAACAGCGCAAGCGUUCAGAAAAAGAAAACGAGCAGAAAAUGUCAGAGAGCACAAAAAACGUGGCAAUAUAACCAAGGAAAACGAUUUUGUGUGCGUUUCACUUUUGUGCAAUACAAUUUCGCAUGUGCUUUUAAAUGUUUGAUUCACGCUUAUUUUUCGAUCCGCAAUACUUUUGACGGAAUAUUGAUACCAUAGUUGCGGCCAUCAAAUUCAAAAUGACCUUAUUUUUUCUUAACAUCGUACAUUUACUCAAUUUAAACAUUUGAUAUGUUUUUAUGUUCUAUUGUAAAUAACAUAUGGGUUUGCAAGAUUUGCAAAUCACUGCAUCCUGUAUUUAUUUGUAUUUAUUUACAUUUUACACAGGCAAUGAAUCCAUUUGCACUGCCAACCAUUGCAGGCGCACCGUCCGUGGUGACUGAUAUCAAUUUGCACACUGGGAGCUGGGUUUUGUCAAUGAAGUCUUUAAAAGACUGAAAAAUGUCCUCUCCCUACGAUUUCGCUCGCUAGCCUUUAGCGUUGGCGCGUUUGAUCGCACACAUGUGGUGAGAGAAAAGACGAGAUCUCAGACUGGCUUCUCUGUACAUCAACGCUAACAUCUAUUUUUUUUUUUUUUGAAUGGCGAUCUACCCGCACUUUCUUUUGCGAUCGACAUAUUGGGCACCCCUGCUCUAGAAGCUACAUGUAUCUGGGUCAAAGUCAACAGUCAAGAGAAGCUUUCACCAGAGUAAAUACAGAGGGUUUACCACAAGAUUUGAUCGUUGGCUGGCCUCAAAAACAGGAAGACCAGGUAAGAGCUGAGUACGCAAAAAACAUUUAAAAAAAAAA